UACGGAGGGGGCUAGCGUUGUUCGGAAUUACUGGGCGUAAAGCGCGCGUAGGCGGCUUUGUAAGUUAGGGGUGAAAGCCCGGAGCUCAACUCCGGAAUAGCCCUUAAGACUGCAUCGCUAGAACGUCGGAGAGGUGAGUGGAAUUCCGAGUGUAGAGGUGAAAUUCGUAGAUAUUCGGAAGAACACCAGUGGCGAAGGCGACUCACUGGACGACUGUUGACGCUGAGGUGCGAAAGCGUGGGGAGCAAACAGG
RNAcentral lists this ribosomal RNA (253 nucleotides) under uncultured bacterium. RNAcentral describes it as "partial 16S ribosomal RNA". It matches the Rfam family "Bacterial small subunit ribosomal RNA", at positions 524 to 776 of the family's 1533-position model. The record is from RNAcentral.